CCUACGGGUGGCAGCAGUGAGGAAUAUUGGUCAAUGGCCGCAGGGCUGAACCAACCAAGUCGCGUGAGGGAUGACGGUCCUAUGGAUUGUAAACCUCUUUUGUCAGGGAGCAAAGGGCGCCACGUGUGGCGUUUUGCGAGUACCUGAAGAAAAAGCAUCGGCUAACUCCGUGCCAGCAGCCGCGGUAAUACGGAGGAUGCGAGCGUUAUCCGGAUUUAUUGGGUUUAAAGGGUGCGCAGGCGGAAUGUCAAGUCAGCGGUAAAAUCCCGGGGCUCAACUCCGGCACUGCCUCUGAUACUGUCGGGCUAGAGUUUAGUUGCGGUAGGCGGAAUGUAUGGUGUAGCGGUGAAAUGCAUAGAGAUCAUACAGAACACCGAUUGCGAAGGCAGCUUACCAAACUACGACUGACGUUGAGGCACGAAAGCGUGGGGAGCAAACAGGAUUAGAUACCCGAGUAGUC
This 460-nucleotide ribosomal RNA is filed under the name uncultured bacterium. RNAcentral's name for it is "partial 16S ribosomal RNA". It matches the Rfam family "Bacterial small subunit ribosomal RNA", at positions 338 to 795 of the family's 1533-position model. The record is from RNAcentral.